GCUCCAAUAGCGUAUAUUAAAGUUGUUGCAGUUAAAAAGCUCGUAGUUGGAUUUCUGGGGUAGACUUUCGGUCCGUGGCUUAUGUCAUGUGUACUGUUUUUGUUCUAUCUCAUCCUCGUAGUGAGUGGUUCUGGCAUUCAGUUGUCGGGAUCAGGAGCUGCGUCGUUUACUGUGAAAAAAUUAGAGUGUUUAAAGCAGGC
RNAcentral lists this ribosomal RNA (200 nucleotides) under uncultured eukaryote. RNAcentral's name for it is "partial 18S ribosomal RNA". It matches the Rfam family "Eukaryotic small subunit ribosomal RNA", at positions 588 to 785 of the family's 1831-position model. The record is from RNAcentral.